Long non-coding RNA from Vitis riparia (riverbank grape), 257 nucleotides. RefSeq lists it as uncharacterized. NCBI's taxonomy places the organism in Eukaryota, Viridiplantae, Streptophyta, Magnoliopsida, Vitales, Vitaceae. The record is from RefSeq and is a predicted model, not a curated record. The transcript has 3 exons.
AGUCUUCAGGUGUUGAAGAUGUGGAUGAGGUUCAUACAACAGUUUUUUGCCUUCCAAAAGUUAUAGGCUCUAAACACUAACAUCUCUCUAAAACAAUCAGCUAUAUGCAUGGUCUCAUCACUCCAACUUCUCUAGCAUCCAACAACUCUGGAAUCGGGAAUGUGCCCUUAGCUUUGUCCUUAUUGGCCAAAAUAAGCCAUUCCUGCCGCACUUUAAUUUGAUGGCAUGCAAAUGAAAGCAAAAUUUCUUAGGUCUGG